UACGAGUGCUUUUUAAGGUUGUCUAGGAUUCUGGGCGAUUUUUAUGAACUUUUUAAUAUCUGUAGAAUCCUUUGCUUGCCAACCAUUAACAUUAACAAAGUGAAGAGCUGAAAAGUAACCACAGAUCAGAGAGUAACCUUUGUCAUCUGUGAAAGUAACCUAGUUUAAAUUGGAGGUUAUGGAUACUUUUUGUUUUAAUUUUCCAGAUUUCAAAGUUUUCCCAAAUUAUUCCAGCCACCGCUGAUACAUUAACGAAAGAAAAAAUUACUACUUGGAUCCGAAACCAGACCGGCCAACUCACGCACUUUCACUUCACACACGCAACUUCAAACGCACAUUACAAGCCAUUUGGAAAAACAAAAAAAGGUUCCAUAAAAUAUAAAAUCCAGAUUGAAGGCUAAGGACAUGGCUGGUGACCAAAAAAAAAAGAGCCCCAUAGUGGGACAAAGGUCCCAUGAUAUUUGCCCAAAUUACCGUACAUGUACGGUAAUUACCGUACGAAUGGCCACCCUGUCCGAAACUGACUGACAAAUGAUUCUAACCUCACAUGCCAGAUCAAAAAUAUUUUGGUUAUCGUGAUUUGGAAAUACAUAGUUAAUUGAAUUGUGCCGUUCCAAUGUCUACCGCAAAGCCCAUCUAUCUGGACGUGGAUGCCAGCAUUGUCGAAAACAACUUACGUUUGACGAAUGAAUCUGAAUACGAGUUCAGCAAAAUAUUUGAAGCUCGGAGCCGCGAACCACCCUGCAAGACAGUUAAACCUCGACCUGGUAAGCAAACAUUUAUUUUUAAGCAAGUAAAAUUUUCCUAAGCUGAGGCCAAUGCCUAUUAAAAUUAGCACCAGCAAUUAAACUUUCUUUCUCGAGUCAUUCCAACAAAUAACGAAAGGCAAUAAAACUACUAUAUGUUGUAGCGUAAGUAUU
Dendroctonus ponderosae (mountain pine beetle) is the source of this 920-nucleotide long non-coding RNA. RefSeq lists it as uncharacterized. The transcript has 2 exons. The record is from RefSeq and is a predicted model, not a curated record. NCBI's taxonomy places the organism in Eukaryota, Metazoa, Arthropoda, Insecta, Coleoptera, Curculionidae.